This 350-nucleotide unclassified non-coding RNA is filed under the name Agaricus bisporus (cultivated mushroom). Its description in RNAcentral is "sequence contains ITS1". The stretch from base 1 to 105 matches the Rfam family "5.8S ribosomal RNA", at positions 50 to 154 of the family's 154-position model. Lineage: Eukaryota; Fungi; Basidiomycota; Agaricomycetes; Agaricales; Agaricaceae. The record is from RNAcentral.
GAAAUGCGAUAAGUAAUGUGAAUUGCAGAAUUCAGUGAAUCAUCGAAUCUUUGAACGCAUCUUGCGCUCCUUGGUAUUCCGAGGAGCAUGCCUGUUUGAGUGUCAUUAUAUUCUCAACUCUCCAAUACUUUGUUGUAAAGGAGAGCUUGGAUUGUGGAGGUUUGCUGGCUCCUUACUUGGGGUCAGCUCCUCUGAAAUGCAUUAGCGGAAUCGUCUGCGAUCUGCCACAAGUGUGAUAACUUAUCUACACUGGCGAGGGGAUUGCUUUCUGAUGUUCAGCUUCUAAUCGUCUAAGGACAAUUUCUUGAAUGCUUGACCUCAAAUCAGGUAGGACUACCCGCUGAACUUAA